Molecule: ribosomal RNA, 254 nt
Filed under: uncultured bacterium
Lineage: Bacteria
Description: partial 16S ribosomal RNA
Rfam family: Bacterial small subunit ribosomal RNA
Source: RNAcentral
CACGUAGGGGGCGAGCGUUGUCCGGAAUCAUUGGGCGUAAAGAGCUCGUAGGCGGCUCGGUAAGUCGGGUGUGAAACCCCCAGGCUCAACCUGGGGACGCCACCCGAUACUGCUGUGGCUAGAGUCCAGCAGGGGAGUGUGGAAUUCCCGGUGUAGCGGUGAAAUGCGCAGAUAUCGGGAGGAACACCAGCGGCGAAGGCGGCACUCUGGGCUGGAACUGACGCUGAGGCGCGAAAGCGUGGGGAGCAAACAGG